GGCCAAACCCGUUUGAAACUCAGAUGCAACAAAAUACUCUUUCUACUACUAUGUUACAAAAUACAAAAAUAUUUUCAAAAUAAAAAUAUUUUUUCAAUAUAAAAUGCUCAUGUGGAUAAAAGAUUUGAGCCCUUUUCCAGUCUUGAAUCGAUAACCUAUGUAUAACAUAUUUUUUAUUUUUAUUGUUAGUGAAUUCGAUUUAUUGAUUGGUCCAUUACCUUGUCAAUAUUUGAAAAGAGAAUAAUUAAUAAUGGAGUAUAGUGGAAUUAUGGUGGGGUCUUCUUCUUCACGUGUUUCCUGCUUCAUUUAUGUCUUUAUUAUUUUGGUUUCUCUCGCUUUCAAAACUUUAAUAAGAUAGUGGAGAUUCUUGUUUUUCGACAAUUCUUCUAACAUGAAAGUAGAGAGAGACAAGUGAAAAUAAACAUGAAAGAGUUAUAGCAACUUCAUAUUAAGGGUAAACCUCAAUUAGAGACCUUAAACCCAGUAUGAGAGUAAUCUUAUAGUCAUUGAAACCAGCUGUAGAAAAUAGCAUACCCCAUUUUUCUUCCCGCCUCUCUUUUCCAUUGAUCACCAUCAUCAUCAACAUGCUAUGAAGUUUGGACACAGACAGGUAAUAUAAGUACGAUAUGAUAGGAACACGACGAUACAAUAAUUUUUAAAAAAUGAGGACACGGAUAUAAUAAGAUAUGAUAAUAAAAAUUUAAUUUUUUUUAUUUUUUUAUGUUAAAUAUUAUGUAAAUAAAAAUAUUGAUAUUUUUCAUUGAUAUAUAAUCAAUUCUUUUCAAUUAAGCUUUCUUGUCAUUACAUAAAAUAUGAUAGGAUUAAUAAAACAAUACCCAUGACAGGACCCUUGGGCUUCCCAAAACACCUUGAAAACAACAACAAUAAAAAGAAAUUAAAUCCAGUCCAGUUUUCUAGACUGCUUCAUCAAGCAUAGAAAAAGGAAUUCUAGAAAAAUCUAAAAGCCAAAUGUACCUCAGAAAACAAAUUUUAGUGGUAAAAACCUUUAAUUUCCUAGACUACUUCAAAACUCUGCUUCUCCUUUCAUUCUCAACUGUGAUUUUUCAAUUCGGGGCCUCUAUCCAACAUGAUCGUGUGAGGAAUAUGUUUGUUUUUAGACACUUAUCUCAGGGCCGUGUCCUAUCUCUCUUUCUUUUGCAUAUUGUAGCGUGUCCCAUAUGUAUUCGGCCGUGUCCGAUUAGUGUCCAUGUCAGACACAUAUACGACACUAAUAUGAGGAGGGAUGAGCCGUGCCCGUGGUUCCUAGUCAGCAUUUCUGAGAAGAACUUUGUUUCAAUCAUCUUCAAAGCAUCAUCAUUUAGUUUCUCAUUCUCCAUUACUACAAUGUCUAUCAUUCAAUUUUAUUUUACUUCACUAGGUUUGAAAAUAGUAUUGAAUGAGUAUAUCUAUAAGUCUUGUUUUGGAAAGCUCUAUUAAAACAUCAUGGACAACUUCAUUAGUUAUCAUUUAAUUAAUUAGCAAGCAGUUAACAAUUUACAUAAUUUAUCCAAUUAUACAUCUCAUGCAUGUUAAACAUACAAUUGUUUUCUAAAACACACGUAUAACAUCUAAGUUUUACCUCAAUGUCCAGUAGCUCUUCCACCUACAGUUACAAGUUAGUCGAACAAUUGAUCAACCCAUUCAUUGAGCAGUCAUAAUCCACCAUUAAACUAUCUAACUAAAAUAGUAAUAAAAGUUUCAAACUAAACAAUUAAAAAGUCCAUAAAGUCCAAUUACAACCCAACAAGUAAAACUAAGUCUAAUGUUAAAUCUCAUAUUUUGGUCCCACAUUGCCUUCCUCAUUUGGAUUGGGAACACUUCAACGUACCUAAGUGUAGCCUUGUUUGUAUCACUUGGAUGACUCACUUCCCCACCUCUUCACAUGUUAUAUCAUUACAAUGAUUUAAAAGAGAGUGUGAGCUUAGCGAAGCUCAGCGAGUGUUUAAACAUACUAUAAGUAAACACAUCAGUCAGGUUUAAAGUAAGCAUACUAUAAUGGUUCACAUUUUAUUACAGCUCACAUGAAAUAGUGACACACACAGCAUAAUAGUUCUCAUAAUAUAAACAGUGCACAUAGGAUAAGCAAUUAACAUAAAAUAGGUAGUUCACGUAAAAUAUCAGUUCGCGUAAGACAACAGUCCAUAUGAAAUAAUAGUUCAUAUAAAAUAGCAGUUCAUACAACAUCAUAACUCAUAUAUUUCAAAUAAUGAUAAAUUGGCAUUUUGUGAUUAUGAAACAUAUAUGUGGACUCUAUCACCACACAUUGGAUAAACGGAUCUCAAUAUAACGUAUCGCUAUUAACUCAAAGAGACCUAUUUUGUCUCUGAUAUAAGUUUAGCAUGAAUGCUAACACUCUCCUUACCCACGACUCAUAGAACCCUGUGCUAUUUCCGGUGAAUGAAGCUAUGCUCUACAUUCCCUUAUCUCUCCAACACAUCUCCGGGCCAGAAUGCCCCAUCACAAUAAGAAGGGUGAGCACUCAUAAUCCUAUGGCUUGCUAACUAUAUCCAAUGGUUGUAAGAGUUGAAAAUGCCAACAUAUCGUUUUAACAUAUUCAUAAUACUCAGGAUAAUAGGGCUCGUAGUUAAGCAGAGCUCACACAAUAUAGCAUAGUUUGCAAUAAAGCAUGAUUCACAAGUAAUAUAGCUUAGAUGCGACAUAUAUUGCACAUAACCACAGUUCACAUAUCAUUCAUGUCAUACCUCACAUAAAUCAUAGUUCGGAUAUCUUAUUUUCCAUAUUACAUAGCUCGCAUAGUUUAUAACAUAAGUCACGUGAUAGCAUGGCUCGCAUACCAUAUAGCACAAAGUAUCACAAUCCAUAGUUCACAAUAUAUUUCACAAUUUGCUUAGCUCAUAUAUAUAGCACAUAGAUCACAUGAUAACAAAGUUCACACACAGUAUGGUUCACACAUAUCAUAUAGGGUUCGCAUAUCAUCCUAGUUGGGUUCGCACACAACAUAUAGAAGGGAUCACAUAACAUUCUAACAGGGUCCACUCACAACAUAUACCAAGUGAUAAGGGUUCAUACAUGUCUGGUGAUAGGGGUUCGUACAUGUCUGGUGAUAGGGUUCGCACAUGUCUAGUGAUAUGGUUCGCACAUGUUUGUGAUAGGGGUUAUACAUGUCUAGUGAUAGGUGUUCACACAUUUCUGGUGAUAGGGAUUCGCGCAUGUCUAGUGAUACGGUUCGCAGUUAUCACACACAACUGGUUCUCAUAUCAUUCAAUCAUAAGUUCGCAUUAAUUACUUAGCAAGUUCACACGUCUUGCCUAGGCUUCCCUUAGCUUGUGUACUAGUGUUUAAAUGAUGUAUACAAGACCACUCAUCUUAACAACCAUUGCUUCAACUAUAAUGCUCAAGUAAGCUUUUAUUUGCCUUUGUCCAUGCUUAUAGAGGCUUCCAAAUGACUUGACACUUCACAUACACAUCAAACACAUUGUAAAGUCAUUACUAACAAUAAAAAACACAAUUAAAUCAUUCCAAAAUCAUAGAUCACAACCUCUAAAUCUCUAUACCAAGAACUUAACUAGUUUUUAAGGUUAGAUUUCUACUUCAUGCAUCCUAAAUAUAAUCUAAUUAUAGAUUUGAGCCAUCAAUUUUAUCCAAUUACACUCAUCUAAUUUUUUGAAAAGAAAAUCAAGCUUAUAUUACCAUCAAGAAGGGGAAAAUGUUUAAUUUACUAAAGGAUUUAUUAAAUCAAGAUUAAAAACCCUUUAGAUUAAAAUGAGUUAGAAAUCACUUUAAAAUAGAAGCUUAGCUAAGAGAUACAAGAUCUACAAUUUUCAAGCCAAGAAUCAACUUAAAAUCAAUUGAUCUAUUACAAUCUUGAUUAAAUCAUUUAAAUCUCAAAUUGAAAUAACAGUUCACUUAGUUUAAUCAUAAAAGGUUAGAAUCUUACCUCAAUUUUGAAAAAUCGACAAGCUAUAGAGCUAUGUCACAUCUUGAAAACUGGGUUUGUAGAAAUUGAGUUAGUGAACUGAGUUAGUGGACUCACCUUGUUUUUACUUAAAUGUUGUGAAAUUGUGUCAAGUGAAUUGAUUUGGUUCAAUGGUUAAAUGUUGUGUUUGUGCGUAAGAGGUCAUGUGUUCAAAUCCUUUCCCUUUAAUUUUUAGUAAUUUUGUUACAACUGCUAUCUUUGAACAUUUGGCUUAUAUAUUAUUUUCAUUCAACUAAUGAUAAAAUGAGUCUGGUCAUUCAGUGGUAAGGCUUUGACUUACCCUUUGGUCCUGUGUUUGAAUCCUUGUGUGUGCAAAAUGAGAAUAUUUUUAUUCCAUUGCUUUGUAACACUCAUGUGAUCAAAAUUUGAGUCAAAUUUCAAUUUCAAAAAAUCUUAUCCUAAUAGGAUAAGAUUUUAUUUUUUGUUAUUUUAUUUUUAUUUUUGAAAAUUAGUUCCCAAAAAAAAUCUCCCACAUUACUAUCCACUUCCUCUCAUGUCUCUCUCUCUCUCAAUUUGUCGUUCAUUGUUUCGUUCCUCCCCAUUUUCUUUGUUGUUUUUUCAAUUUUUUGUUUUUCCUUUGUGACUAGCUAUUGUUUUCUCAACAAUUCUUCAUAAGAUUUCAGCCUUCAUUCUUUUUUCUUGUCAUUCUUAGUCUCUAAUUUGAUUCUUUGGUGUGUUUUGGAGUUCCAGAAUCGUAGUAAGUGUCGUGUAAGUAUGGUGUUUGUUUCGUUAAUUUUUCUUCUAAGAAGGAUGUUUGUAAGUAAGUUGCUCAAGAAAUUUUUGAUUGGUAUUGACUUCUUUUUGACAUUCUCUUUUGUGUGGAAAUUUGCUAGGUGAGGUUCGUGGAUUGCAUGACAUUCUUCCGAUGAGUAAGGAGUUUCCCAAGGCUACCGUUAAUGUUUGUGUAAGUAAAGGAAUGCCGAGAGGUUGAUUUUUGGCUUGUUAAGGCCUUGUAUUAGAGAUUGGAAUCAUAUUGGGGGUUUAGAGUUUAGUGAUUUGUUUCUAAAAUUGCUCGUUCUUAAUGUCAAUUUUAGGUUUUAGAAUUUCAAUUGUGGUGUGGGCAUCGAAAAGCGUUCAGGUGUGUAACGAAAAACCUGAAAAAUAGCAAAUGGCGCGAAGCCAAAAAGUUCACUAUCAAUGUCACACAAUCGUGUGACAAACCGUGUGAGCCACACAACUGUGUGUCAGGCCAUGUGGGCCACACAGACGUGUGGGCACAAUUUUUUUUGUAAAAUUUAGUUAGGGCCAUAUUUGUAAUGCAGUUUGAGGUUAGCCACUUCGUAGGCUCUAAAAUGUGUUAUGUAGGAUUUAUAGUUAUGAAAUGUUACGUUAUGCUUCUGUUAAUAUGAUUUUUGAAAGCAUGACAUUAUAUUCUGAUGCGUAAAGCAUGUAUGACUUAAAAUUCUAAUAUUGUAUGCGUAAUGUCCAAGAGCAAGUUUGUGUUAUAACUUUUGCAUCUUAUUUAUGUUUUGAGUUAUCUCUUUAAGCAUGAUUCAUGUACAUAUAUAUGAGUAUGUAAUAUGUUUGAUAUGUGUAUUGGGGUGGGAUAAUGAUGUGAUGAAGAAAGUGUUGGUAGUUUAACUGCAUAUUGAUAAGCCAUCAUUAUCAGGCAACCCGAGGUGGCGGGUCAUCGUUUUCGAGCAACCUAGGAUGACUUUAUUAGUGGUUUAACCAUAUAUCUGUUCUGGCAGCUUGACUGUAAUUCUAGUGGCUUGGUCACACUUAUUUGAUCCUAACAGAUUACUGUAUUAUAUCAGGCAGCUUGACUGCAUUAUUCUGAAAAGUGAGAUACGCUCGCUUAUAGAUGUGUGGGGUUGGAUGGGUAUUAUUACCCUAACUAGUGUGUAGGGAUGGUCGAAGAUGGUGUGUAGUGGAUGAGGUAGAAUUUGAUUAUGUAUCUGCAUCCGUAUCUAAUUCUAUAUUAGUAAUUGAAUUUAAUUUUUUAUAUUCAUCUAUAUUUGCAAUUGCAUCUGAUUCUGUAUCUGCAUCUGUAACUAAUUUGUCUGCUAUAUUGGUAUUUGUUCUAUUUGUUGGGCUGAGUUACACAUUGAGCUCAUUAGCUCACCUCUUUGUUUUAUCUUUUCAGGCAUUUGACAGAUUUAGGAUUGGGCGGCGUUAGGAAACUCAGACUUGUUAUCUUGCAUAAGUUGGUUAGAAUUAUAAAUAAUUGAACUUUUCUGGACUUCUGAUUUCUAGAUAAAUUUUUAGUUUUAAUUUUGGUUUUUUUAUUUAGUUAAAGUUUUUUUGCAUGUUUUCUGUUAAUUAAAAAAAUCACGUUUGAUUUUCAAAUCAAACGAGCUAAGGAUUUUCCACUGCAAACAUGAAAUGAGUUUUACAAAUGUUAAUAAUGAGAGUUUUAAAAAAUUCUCAAUCAGAAAAAUUAUACAUUUUCCCUUAUAGAAACUAUGGUUUUCAACUUAUCAUGUAACGCCCCAAAAUUUUAAGAAUUUAAUUGUGAGAUUCUGUAGUAAUUAAAUUUCUCUAUCUGUGGUUCUGUGUUUUGUGAUUGAGUUUAAGGUUUGGAGUUCGAGUUACAUUGUUAAAAGUUUUAUUCUUUUAGAACAAUCUCUAUCCAUGCGGUAUAUGGGUAAAAGUAGUUUGUAAGAACCUAUGACAAUAAUGAGCCUGCUGGUUCACUGGUUAAGCAUCUAUCUGUAUUCUAUCUGGUCCCGAGUUCAAAUCUCAUUGUAUGUGUUAAGAGAAUUUUUGCUAGUUGUUGAAGGUAUGUUGGUGGUUAAGACCAAUUUUAUUAAAUUUGGUUAAUGUAUGUAUCUUUUCUUCUUCUUUCUUUUUUUUUAUUUUUUUAUUUUUCCUUUUCUUUCUUUGUUUUACUUCUUUGAUUUCUUCUCGUCGAGUGUGUUCAACAUGUGAUUAUCGGAAAUUAGUGAGAUCUUUACGUUUUUAAAAGACUUCUGUAUAAGUUCUGUCGGAUUCCUUUCACUUUUGCAAUGUUUGGUUAGAUUCUUGUUACGGUGUUAAAUUGGGAAUUAUCAAACUGCUUUUCUUAAACUCUCUGUUAACUAGUCGUUUUGUUCCCUUAGGUGUGAGUACAGAGGGAAGCGACCCUUCGCGUGUUGUGCCGAAUUAGCACGGUAGAAUUGUCGGUAAGCAUUUGUCGUUGAAGUUCCCUCGUGUCGAUUUAUUCAACAUAAUUGGCUGUGUAUUAAUGUUGUGUUAAUUAGUCGUUUAGACAAAUGAUUGAUUCCUGAAUGGUUAAUUAGGUUUCGGGUAAUCUCCAUAUUUUUUUCCAUCAAAAUGAAACCAGGUGUGUAUCGAAAACCUUAAUUUUUACAAGUUUUGGUCGCCAAAAAUGGUGGCUGUCGACACUACACGGCCAGGCACACGGGCGUGUGUCCAGGCCAUGUAAGCCACAUAGUCGUGUGGCAGGCUGUGUAGUUGGUCGUGUAACUCACUGUUUGUCGAUUUGGGGCCACACGAGCAAAGGACAUGGGCGUGUGUCGAGGCUGUGUGUGGCCAUAUUAAUGCAGGGUUCACACGAGCAACGAACACGGACAUGUGUCAGGGUCAUGUAACUUACUAUUUGUGGUAAAAGACCACACGGACAAGGCACAUGGGCAUGUGUCUUGGCCGUGUCACUCACUGUUUGUGGAAUAAAACCACAUGGCCAUGGACACGAGCGUGUGUCCAGGCCAUGUAACUCAUUGUUUAUGCUUCGGAACCACACAAGCAAAACACAUGGGCGUCUAACCAGGCCGUGUGGCAUGUUAUUGGGAAAUCUGUUUUUAAGGCCAUGAAUGUUAUUUAACACUAACACUGGCUUCCCCUUUGUAUGAAUGAUUGAAUUGAUUAUAUGGAAGUUGUCUAAUAUUCUGAAACUGAUGUAUGCAUAAGAUAGUGGUAUGUAUACUAUGAUGCUUAUUCUGAGAUGGCAUUGUUUUAUCUGUUUGGGAAAUAAAUUAGAAUGAUUGAAUAUUUGGUACGAGAUUUGUACUCUGUAUUUACAUGGGUUUGGGUAUUGCGGAGCAAGAAGUAAUCUGUAUAGAAAUAGUGGUUCAGCCACAAUGUGCAUAAAUUUUAUUCUGGCACUGCGUUGCCUUCAGACCUAACAGCUAAGUUGCGUAUCUGUAAAAGUGUCAAAUGAGACUCUAAGGUGUGUAAGGUUUAUUGGGCAUUGAAUGUCCUUAACGGUACGUUGGGAUGGUCGAAAACAGUGUGUAGCAGUUGGUUUAGGAUUACUACAUCUAAAUCUAAUUUGUAUUGUAUUGUAUCUGGGACUGAAUUUGUAUAUAAACAGAUGUAUAACUCAUCUGCUCUGAAUUAUGAAUUGAAACUUCAUUUGUAUCAAAGUAAAUCUUUGAAUUUGGAAUUAUUUUAUAAGUGAGCACUAGUUGAAAAAUUUUCUUUUACGCCAUGAGUUCACUACUUAUUUUGUUAUUGAUUGAAUUUCAGAUGGAUCUUAGUCAUGAACGGACCGGUGCCGCAGAAGCUCGGUCAAGCUUUUAACUUUCUCUUAAGUAUUAUGUUAGGACUUCAGUAAUCUAUGAUAGUAGAACUUUGGAAGGUUAUGAACUAACUAAUCUUUGUGAUGGAUAUUUUGUGAAGCAUGGUUUAGUAUUAUUGUGUUACUUGUGUGGUAUGUGAGUAUCAACGAUGUAACUCUCUAAACUUGGGUUGAACGUCUAGGCUGGGUUUGGGGUGUCACAUAUCAUCUUUGAAAAUCCGUUGCAAACUUAGGUAUCACAUUAUGUGCUUUUCCGAAAAAUAAAUAAUAUUUGUGUGUGGUUUUCUAAAAGAAAAACAUGUAAGAGUUUUGUCAAAAAUAAUAUUUUCAGAUCUUACAACUUCCAAAGCUAGCUUUGAUUUGGGUUUUCAAACGGGAAGUGUUACCUCCAGGUCUGGCAUAUUGUCUAGGUCAAGUUUGGGGUGUUACAAGCUAAUUUGAGCUACAAUGUGUGAAGAUCUUUUGAGGAUGAAAACGUGAUUAAUCUUCAAAUUUGAAAAGAGAUUUUAUGUUUGGAGAGCAUAGAAAUAAAAAAAAAAGAAUGAAUUAGUUUCGGAAGAAAAGCAUUAAUUUGGUGUUUGGCAAAUUUUUGAAAGAGAUAUGAAGGGAAAGAAUGGUGGGGUUGCUAAAUAGGCAACCAAUUUUUAAAAAUUGGGUCAUUGCCCAUUUAACCACCUCCAGUUUCCUCCGUUUUCCAAGUAAGUUCUUGCUUUACAAUUAAAACCAAUUUAAAAAUUAUAUUUAAAUCAAACCUCGUUUUUAAAUAUGUUUUAACCAAAUUAAUUCUCGGACACCUAAUUUAAUUUCUUAACCUAAAAUUUUAAAUUCUAAUUAUUUUAAUACUUUAUUUAAUUAAUUCUGAAUUAUUUUAUUAUCUAACCUAAUUACGAUUUUGGAUUCACUAACCUAAUCUGAGAUACCCAAAUCUACUAACCCGAUUUUUGGGGUGUGACAAGACUUGCUACCAACAGUCCUUGUUUACAUUGUUUGUUAUUAUUAUAUUGUAUUAAACUUAUUUAGUUGUUAUUUAAUAGGGAUUGUGAUAGAUCUUCUUUAUGUUAGCAAAUAUCGGAUCUCUAUAUAAUUGUGAGAUUUGUAUAGCUUAUUGUACUUAGAAAUGAGAGCACUUAAUUUGUUCAAGUGAGAAACAUUAUUUGUGAGAGUGCAUUUGAUUGUAAAACAUUUGUGUUGUGGUUUUACAUGGUAAGUUCGUAGGGGUGAAAUUGGUGGUGAGGGUUUUAGUCUUCAAAGGUACAAAAUUGAGGAAAUUGUCACUGAGGUGUGAUAAAUUUAAGGUCACUUGUUGUAAGUGAUUGAAGAUAAUGGAUACUUCUUACUGAGUUAAACUCCGCAAACGUACGAAAAUUGAAUUGCAUUAACAAAAUUUGUCGCCCACUAUUUUAUUCCUUAUUUGACAGUGCUUGAAGAAGUGCCUAAACCCUAAGUCAUUCCUUCCAAGCACAUAGCUUAUCUUUUAGCAACUGCUUGGGCCAACAUUUGAUAUUAGAGCUUUUCACUUAACAUUGCUACUGAAAUCCCUAUUGUUGUUUAAUACAAGCUAAGGAAGGAUCAUCUACCUCACGUCCCUGAUGCUGGAAAUUGACCAUUAUGCUUACUAGAAAGACUGCUUGAAAGUUUAUAUUAAUCCAUUGGUGAGAAGUUUUAAACAAUUAAUGAAUACUGAAAAUGAGUUUAUUUUUAUUUUAAAAUGAAUUAAAAGUAAAAUUUAAAUAGUUUAAUAAAAGCUUAGUUCUUUUUUAUUUAAUAUGAAAUGAAUUUAUUCAAAAAAAUUAAUAAAAUUAAGAAUCCUACAUAAAUAAAACUUAUUAAUGAAAAAGUCAUUUUCAUCCGUUUAAAACAUUUUUUUAUUUUUUAUUGUUAUGAAUUAGAUCUAUUGAUAGAUUGCAUUACCUUGUCGAUAUUUGAAAAUAGAAUAAUUAAUAAUGGAGUAUAGUAGAAUUCUAUCAAGAUUUCAUCCCUACAAUUAAUUAUUUGUUGGGACAAUAAUCUAUAGGAAGGAUUAAUUUGAGGAUGAGGAAUUAUCACAUCGGCUCGCUUUCUUCCUUCCAUUCUUAGUCCAAGAGAACCCUUUAUUUAUUGUUUAAAGACGUGUUGCAACAAACUAUGUAUUUUGCCAUUGACAUGAAACCUGCCUCUUAAUUGUAGUAAAAAUUAUUAUUAGGAAUAUUCAACUAAAAAAAAAUCAUUUCAAGUUUACUAGAUAAAUAGAAUAUAAAUUUUACUCUAUUUAGACAUAGGUAAAUAAAAAUUCAUAAUCAUAAUAAUGAAUAAUUUAAUAAUAAAUUUAAUAUUUUAUUAAAACGAAAAAAAAAGAAUUACAUAGAAUAAUUAGAACAAUAUAAAUUUGAUAGAAUAGAAUAAAUGGAAAAGGAGUCAAAAUGAUAUAAUACAAAAAAUUUAGUCUAUCUAAAACAAAACAAGGGAUCAUAUGAAAAAUAUAAUUGAUUCUUUCGUUUCCUCGGGUCACUAGCCAUCUGUUGGGAGUUUUGAGGUUAAUACUGAUAUUUUAGCAUCAAAACUAAUUAAUCUAACUGUAGUUCUUCGUGUAUUGAUCUUUUUUGAAAAGAGAGUGUGUGCAAGUUGUUUAUUUCAAGAAUAGGUUGGAUUCACCUAGUUGUACUUUUUUUUCAUUAUAACUAGGAAAGAAAAGAGUGCAUGGUCUCGCAAAUUUCUUUUAAAUAAAUUUUAAAAAUUAUAUUCUAAAACUAUAGUAUUUCAUGAUUCAUUGGUACAUCGACUUUGAUUCUCUAUUAAUCAAUAAGUAAGGCUCAUUAACAUGGUUAAUGCCAAACCCGUUUGAAACUCAGAUGCAACAAAAUACUCUUUCUACUGCUAUGUUACAAAAUACAAAAAUAUUUUCAAAAUAAAAAUAUUUUUUCAAUAUAAAAUUCUCAUGUGGAUAAAAGAUUUGAGCCCUUUUCCAGUCUUGAAUCGAUAACCUAUGUAUAACAUAUUUUUUAUUUUUAUUGUUAGUGAAUUCGAUUUAUUGAUUGGUCCAUUACCUUGUCAAUAUUUGAAAAGAGAAUAAUUAAUAAUGGAGUAUAGUGGAAUUAUGGUGGGGUCUUCUUCUUCACGUGUUUCCUGCUUCAUUUAUGUCUUUAUUAUUUUGGUUUCUCUCGCUUUCAAAACUUUAAUAAGAUAGUGGAGAUUCUUGUUUUUCGAAAAUUCUUCUAACAUGAAAGUAGAGAGAGACAAGUGAAAAUAAACAUGAAAGAGUUAUAGCAACUUCAUAUUAAGGGUAAACCUCAAUUAGAGACCUUAAACCCAGUAUGAGAGUAAUCUUAUAGUCAUUGAAACUAGCUGUAGAAAAUAGCAUACCCCAUUUAUCUUCCCGCCUCUCUUUUCCAUUGAUCACCAUCAUCAUCAACAUGCUAUGAAGUUUGGACACAGACAGGUAAUAUUAGUACGAUAUGAUAGGGACACGACGAUACAAUAAUUUUUAAAAAAUGAGGACACGGAUAUGAUAAUAUAUGAUAAUAAAAAAAUAUUUUUAAUGUUAUAAGUGUUGAUGUGAAUUGAUAAAUGUUAGUUAUAAUGACAACUUGAUGAAAGUGAUUAUAUUUGGCUAUUUUGAUGGAGCCUUGAUUAUGAAAAUGUGGUUGAUGUCAUAUGUUCUCUUAACUUGAUUAUUUGAAUGAUUAAUAUUUGUUUGAGGUGCCUUUGAUUGGCAUAUUGGUUAGGUAUAGGAUGGAUGAAUUUUUGGCAUGUAAUUGAUUAUUUGACUGUGAUUUUGAGCUUAGGAAUGGAUCUAGAUAUGAUAUGAAUUGUUACUCAACGAAUGAUGUAUGAAAUGGCUUGAAUUAGGGGUUAAAUAUACUACACACAGCCUAGGACAUGGGCUGUCACAUGGUCGUGUGACACACACAGUCCACUCACACAACCGUGUGUCUUAUUGUCUUUAGGUGCAGGUUUCACACGACCUGACACACGGCUUGCGACAUGGCCAUGUGACCUUAAUUCGAAUAUCCACACGGGCAAACACACAGGUUGGGACAUGGUCAUGUGUCUGUAUUUCAAACGACCACACAUUCUGGACUGUGACACACUGAUUGGCCACACGGCUGUGUGUCUCCCAUUUUCAAAUUUUUAGCCUUUUUUUUCUAAUUUUUCAAUUAUUUUGAUUUGACCCUAAAAUGUUCCUAAACUAUUUUUAGGGCCUCGUAAACUUGGUUUAAGGUCCAUAAGUGUAUGUUUGUUAUGAUUGGAAUGUAAUAUGAUUAUUUUUAUUUAUGGUUGAAUAGUAAUGUUAAAUGUUUAAAUUGUUACCAUAAUACUCUGUGACCUAACUUCGGCGACAGAGAUGGGUUAGGAGUGUUACAAACAUUAACUCUUUCGACAUUUUAAAUGCAGUUUAGGGUUGUUGUUUUUUGCAAGGGUAAGUGGAUAGAAGUUCUAAUUAAGGGCUAGUUUCAUUUAGUUUGUAAUAAUCUAUUAUUUGCGUACUAUUUAGUGGUCGGAUUUAGUAUGAGAUUUGCUAAUUGGUUCAUUCUAAAUGUCAUUUUUAUGUGUUGGAAUUGUGACUGUUGUGUCAGCAUCAAAAAAUGACUAGGUGUGUAUCUUUUAUCCCGAAAAUAGUGAACAUCGCAAAGCCGAAAAUUAUAUUGUUAAUGCCACACGGUUGUGCGCUAGCCCGCAUGAGACACAUAGUCGUGUGCUAGGCCGCAUGGGCCUAUUUUUAGUAAAAUUUAGUUAGGGUCAUGUAUGAUGUGCGAUUCAAUGUUAGCCACCUCGUAAGGUCUGUUAUGUGAAUGUAUAGCUUAUAUGUACAAAAUAUGAUAUUCUUCUUCUGUAUGUGUAACUUUUGGAAGCAUGUUUUAAUUUCUAAUGUGUAAAGCAUGUAUGAUUUGUAUGCAUCUGGAUGUAUAUGGAUAGUGAUUGCAUGUGCAUUGGGUGGGAUUAUGAUGUGAUGAAGGAAGUGUUGGCAGUUUAAUGAUCUGUCUUAUCCGGUGGUUUUAACCACAUAUUUGUUCUGGUGGUUUGACCACACUUAUCCAGUUCUAGCAUAUUACCACAUUAUUUUUGGCAGCUUGACUGCACUAUUCUGAAAAGUGAGAUACGCUCACUAUAUUGGUGUGUGGGGUUGGAUGGGUAUUUAUUACCCUAACUAGUGUGUAGAGAUGGACGGAGAUAGUGUGUAGUGGAUGGAGGUAGGAUUUGUGUUUUUAUUUGUAAUUGAUCUGUCUGUCGUAUUGCAUUGCGAGAUAUGCCAUGCUUUCGUAUUUAUCCGAUUUCUAAUUUUUAUGUAAAUUUGCUAUCUAAUUUCUUUGUAUGGGGCUAAGUUACACACUGAGCUUUUUAGUUCACCUUAUAUUUUUAUCUUAUCAGGUAAUCAGCAAACGUAGGAUCAGGUGGCAUGCGGGAUGUAACACUCCAAAACCAACCUAGACGUUAUGGCCGAAUCUGGGAGUGCUAUGAAGAAGAGUAUUCAAAACAAUCUUGUUAUGUUAAAAUGACUAAAAUUGAAUCCACAUCUUAUCAAACAUAUUAUUAUUAUCGUUAAGGAAAAUAUUGUUAAUUUUCUCUUUCAGAAACCUUAUUUCGCAGUGAAAGUUUGAUAUAGUUAAAGUUGAACACUGAGUUUGUGUUUUUAGAAAAACAUUUGUUUGUGUAAAACUGUAGUUUUGUCAAACUUCGUAAUAUAAAAGUCAAAAACACACCCAAAAUCGAAAUUAAAACAAACAGUCCAAAGAGUCUCAAAAUUACAAAACUCUAAAAAAUAAAUAAGAUUUUAAAUAAAAACGUAAUUAAAACAGUUCGCAAACUAGUGGACACUGCUGAGGAUCCGUCGCACCGACCUGCCUAUAUCUGAGGAUUACCUAAACAGAACAGACAAACAAAUGUGAGUUUUCAUAAACUCAGUGUGCAAUUCAACAGAAACAUACAUGCAUCAAUUUCAGAAUUUCAGUAUAUCAGAACAGAAGCAGACAUAAGUCCUUAUCAGAAUCAAAUUAUCAGAUACAUACAGAUAUGCAAAGUCCUACCCCAUCCUCUACAAACAAUCUACAACCAUCGCAACACACCACGUGGGGUAUGAAACACCCACCCCGCCCUACACACCACAUAGUAUCCGUACGACACUUAACAGGAUAGUUUGCGGUCAAGUUGCCAGUAUAUCGGCGAAAUGUCGCCUCAUAGAACACUUACUCGACAUAUACAAAUUCCACCCCAAACACAAAAACAAAUAAAAAAUAAAAGGUAUAACAGAAUUAACAUGUCUUGCAUGCUUAUAUACAGGUACAUACAUGUUAUUACGAACCAGUCAAAUCAUACCUAUAAAUUUUUAAAUGCUCAAAUCAGUCUAUCGGAUUAGCAAAUAUCAUGCAUUAGGGUUUGCAUUGCCCUUACCGACCCCACGGAAAGCCCAUAGUCUAUCAGAAUGACUUAUGUGACCUUAGAGAAAAUUUUAAAAUUUUGGGCCAACAUGUCUGUGUUGGCCCACACACCCGUAUGACCUACACACCUAAAUUGGCCAUGCUCGUGUAGCUAAUAUAGCUUGGCCCAUGGCCCACACGCACAUGUGGCAUGCUCAUGUGGCCCACACGCCCAAAUCGGCCUAGCUCGUGUGACCCACACAGCCACACACUCGCUCGUCACACAGGUGUAUCUCGUACAUGGUCGGCCACACGCCUGUGUGAAGUCCAUAGGCCACUUUUUUGGCUUUUUUCAAACCUCGUUUUCUAGUAUUUACAUUACACACCUAGCUCGUUUUCGAUACAAAAUCAACGCCGAGACCAUUGAACCUUGAAAACAGCAUUCCAACGCCCAAUUUCAAUAUACAUUUACGAAACUCAAACAAAAUUAUUCUGAAACAAAGCCUCGGAAUAGAAUCCAAUCGUAUUCACACACUUACCGCCAAUGAAUAGAAAAUCACUAACACGGAUUAAGCUGUAGUAGCAAAAUCCUCUACUUCACAAUAUUCUCCUACGCAACACACUCACAAAUAUUAAUCUCCCUAACUACAACACCAACACGCCUAUUCAAAAGGAACGAAAACCAAACGAAACGAACUUGUAGACUUACCAAGAUGAAUGAAAAACAACCGAACACCGAACUCCAAAGAUUAAAAUGAUUGAUUGGUUGAAUCGAACAGAGAGAAAGAAAAGCAAAAAUUAGUAGAAAAAGAAGGGAAAAGAGAAAAAGAAAAGAUAACAAAAAUCGUCACAAUGCUAGAAAGAAAGGGAAUUUUUUUGGAAAAAGAAAUAAUAAAAAUAAUAAUUCAAAACACCCAAAAUCCCAACUCCCUACUAACCACCUUAUCCCCCUAGAAUCCUACCCACUAACCAGAUCCAAUUACCUUAGAAUUUUACUUCCACCGAACCUUUAUUAAACAAUCGAAGCAAAAACAUCAUCCAUUCUUACACAGGGAUUCAAACACAAGACCUUAGGUCAAGCUAACACCUUACCACUCAAACCAGCAAGCUCAUUCUGAUAUGAUUUCACUAGCAAUAAAAUAUAAGCCAAACCACUAAUGAUAAGGCUAGGAUAAAAAAAACAAAAUUUCCCAAAAGUAGGACUUGAACCCAAAACCUCAAACACACACUUCCAUCACUAACCACUAAAGCAGAUACUCAUUUAUGAAAGAUUUCACAAAAAAAAACUUUAAAUUAAAUAGGGUGUUACAACUCUACCCCCUAAAAGAAAUUUCGGCCUCGAAAUUUACCUAAUCCAAAUAGAUGAGGAUACUGCUAACGCAUCGAGUCCUCAAGUUCCCACAUGGCUUCCUUAGUGCCAUGAUUCUGCCACAGCACCUUAACUAACAGAAUAGACUUCCUCCUCAGAAUCUUUACAUCUCUAUCCAAAAUCUAAAUUAGCUCCUCCUCAAAUGUCAAGUCCGGUCUAACAUCGAUCUCCUCAAUAGAAACAACGUGAGAUGGAUCAGACUGGUACGGCCUCAACAUAGAGACGUGAAACACAUCAUAGAUAUGGUCUAACUCCGAAGGUAGCUCCAACUAAUAAGCAACCAGUCCCACAUACUUUAGAACCCAAUAUGGCCUAAUGAACCUAGGGCUCAACUUGCCCUUACAUCCGAACCGAAGAACCUUCUUCUACGGAGAUACCUUAAGAAAGACAAAGUCACUCACAGAAUACUCGAUAUCCCUCCUUUUUAGAUAUGCAUAGGACUUCUAUCUAUUAGAAGCUACCUUAAGACGAUCCCGAAUCAGUCUGACUUUAUCCUCAAUCUCGAAAAUGAACUCAGGACCCAAAACCCGUCGUUCACCGAACUUAGUCCAACAUAGUGGAAUACGACACUUACGACCAUACAGAGCCUCGUAAGCUGCCAUAUGGAUACUAGACUAAAAAUUGUUGUUGUAGGUGAACUCAGCUAAAGGCAGAAAGUCUUCCCAACUCCUUCGGAAAGUAAUCACACAACUUUGAAGCAUAUCCUCCAGUAUCUGAAUCACCCUCUCCAGUUGACCAUCGGUCUGAGAAUGAAACGCAGUAUUGAAGUCCAAUCUCAAACUCAGUGCUUCAUGAAGUUUCUUCCAAAACCGAGAAGUGAAGUGAGGAUCCCUAUUAGAAAUUAUCGAAAUCGGAACCCCGUGAAGUCUCACAAUAUUAGAAAUAUAAAGUUUAGCCAACUUCUGUAGAGAAUAAUCUGUCCAAACCGAAAUGAAAUGGGCGGACUUGGUCAAACGACAUACGAUGACCCAUACAGAAUCCUUCUUAGUAGGUGUUAAAGGUAACCCACUAACAAAAUCCAUCGUCACAUGUUCCCAUUUCCAUAACGGAAUCUUAACGGGUUAGAGGAAACACGAAGGCAACUGGUGCUCAACCUUAACUUGCUGGCACGUCAAACAUCGAGCAACGAAAUCUGUUACCUCACAUUUCAAACCCAACCACUAGUACAGUUCACGGAGAUCUCGAUACAACUUAUUUCCACUAGGGUGCAUAGCAUAAGGACUACUAUCUGCUUCCAUCGAAAUUUACUGUUUCAAACCGGAAUCGUUCGGUAUACAAACCCGUCCUCGGAAACACAGAAUCCCAUCCUUAUUCCAUUCAAAAUUAGAUGUACUAUCACUCUCAACCUGACGAAAUCGUCAAACCAGAGAAUCAUCCCUCAACUGCUUAUCUCGAAUCUGAUUAAUCCAAGUCGGCUUAACUUGAAACUCGGCUAACGAACUUCUAUCAUCAAACAAAUUGAGAUGAGCGAACAUCGCCCUCAAAUCAGACAUUGCUAUACGACUGAGAGCAUUGGCUACCACAUUGGCCUUACGGGGAUGAUACUCUAUCGUACAGUCAUAAUCCUUGAGCAACUUAAUCCAUCUCCGCUGCCUAAGGUUCAACUCCUUUUGAGUAAGGAGGUAUUUGAAGCUCUUGUGAUCGGUGUAGAUGAUACACCUCUCACUAUAUAGAUAGUACCUCUAGAUCUUUAAAGCAAAAACCACGACAGCUAAUUCAAGAUCAUACGUCGGAUAAUUUUCCUCGUGUAACUUAAUCUGUCGGAAUGCAUAAGCCACAACCUUACCAUCUUGCAUCAAUACACAUCCCAAACUGACAUUCGACGCAUCACUGUAAACCACAAACUCUUUACUAGAUUUAAGCUAUAUCAGAACAAGAGCCUCAGUUAAAAUAGUCUUGAGCUUCUCAAAGCUCGAUUGUUGCUCAUCAGUCCAGACAAAAGGAACAUUUUUACACAGAAGCUUAGUCAGAGGAGCUGCAAUCAACGACAACCCAUCAACAAACAGCCGAUAAUAACCUGCAAGACCUAGAAAAUUAUGGAUCUCAGAAACAGUCUUAGGUUGUUUCCAAUCAAGUACAGCCUUAAUCUUUCGAAGAUCAACUCGGAUCGCCUUAGUAGAAACCACGUGCCCUAAAAAUGUUACUUCCUGUAACUAGAAUUCACAUUUGCUCAACUUAGCGUAGAGCUAUUUCUCUCGAGGUAUCUGAAGCAUUACUCUAAGAUGCUCAUCAUACACUUCCUCGGUCUUAGAGUACACCAAAUAUUUUCGAUAAAUACUACAAAAAAUUGAUCCAAAUACAGCUGGAAAACUCAAGUCAUCAGAUCCAUGAAUACAGCUGGAGUAUUCGUCAAACCAAAAGGCAUGACUAGGAACUCGUAGCACCCAUAACGAGUCCUAAAAGUCAUCUUAAAAAUGUUAGCUUCCUUAACCCAAAGUUGAUGAUACCCAGAAUGGAGAUCUAUCUUAGAGAAUACUAAAGCCCAUGAAACUGAUCAAACAAAUCGUCGAUCCUCAGAAGUGGGUACUUAUUCUUCAUAGUUAGCUUAUUCAAUUGUCGGUAAUCCAUAUACAACCUCAUGGUACCGUCCUAUUUUUUUACGAACAAAACUGGUGCCUCAUACGGAGACACAUUAAGACAGAUAAAUCCACGAUGCAAAAGCUCCUGAAACUGAGUCUUUAGCUCCGUAAGCUCUUUCGGUGCCAUUCGAUAUUAAACGAUAGACACUAGAGCUGUACCCGGUAGAAGCUCAAUGCCGAACUCAACUUCUCAAUUCAAAGGUAAGCCCGGUAAUUCCUCAAAAUAUACAUCCGAAAAUUCCCUCAUUAUUUUGAUGUUACAAAUAGAAGAGUCCCUAGAAAAUUAAAUACUUACAAAGGCCACAUAUGUUUCACACCCUUUUCGAACUAGUUUUUCGGCUACUAGAGCGAAGAUCAAUUGGAUAAGUAUUCUCGACGCUCGGCGACCACAACCACUUUCACAUCAACCUCGAUUCUCAAAACGACCCUCUUAGUCACGUAAUCCGAAAUGACUCAGUGCUCUAGUAACCAGUUUAUACCCAAAAUCAAGUCGAACUCUACAAAUGUUAUCUCCAUCAAAUUUUCCAGAAACAUAACCCUUUUAACCUCCAGCGGUACAUUCCUAUACAGUCUAUUAACCCGAACAGAUUGACCUAAUAGACUCAGUAAAAAAAUCUCACCAGAAGUACACUUUACAGUAAUCCUCAAGUUUCCAGAAACAGUACUAGCUACAUACGAGUGUAUUGACCCUAUGUCUAUCAAAGUAGUAUAAGGGGCGACCAAAAUAAUGAACGUACCCGUAAUCACAUCAGGGGCGUCUCUGUCCUUUCGGCAUCGAGCAGCAUAUACCAAUGAAAUCUGUCUCGCCUCACUCUGAUUAGGACCUCUGCCCAGUGCUCUCUAUCCUCUACCCAAACAUUACCACCCCUGGCUGGACCACGACCCCUAGAUAGUUGCUGUACUGCCCUCUGAAGCUGAACAAAAUCCAGACCCGUAGCUUGUAUAUGAUCAGAAUACCUUAGAAAAUAUUUAAUUCGAUGGUCCAACGACCCACAACGCAGACAAUCCCCUAAUCUCCUCCAACACUCGUUCAGAUGGCGCCUACCACAAUCGCUGCACGAUUGAACCCCAGUAGGAGCAACUGAAACUCCCACUCUAGGAGGCCCAUCAGGUUUGGCCUAUUUCUUAAGCCUCUAAACAGAACUAGAGGGCUCCGAUUCCUUCUUAUUCUUACCUCUCUCACGAUCCCUAUUUUGGUGCUCCGCGCGCUUAACCUCUUCUGCGAUCUUCGCGUUAUCCACCAGAAUAGCGAACUCUCUCUCCCUCUACGGAGCAAUCAAUACUCUCAGAUUAUCCCUCAGACCAUCCUCAAAAUAUACGUACUUUUCGUACUUAAAUGUCACCAUGCCUCGAGCGUAGCGGCUCAGUCUCAAAAAUUCGGCCUCAUACUUGGUCACUCACUUAUCUCCCUGAGUGAUAUUCAUGAACUCACUCCUGCGAGCAUCCACAUCACUCGUUUCCAUAUAUUUCCUCUAAAAGGCAGUUUUAAAAUACUCCCAACUAAUCCAAUUCGAUUAAGUACCCUCCUCAAUCGAUAACCAUCACUGAUAUGCCUCGUCGCGAAGCAAAAAAAUUCACCCUUCAGUUUCUGCUCAGGAGUGCAGUCGAUGUCGUUCAUUAUUCUCUCGGUGGCCUCCAACCAAUAUUUGACCACAGUAGGAGAAACUCCAAUGACACCCCUAAACAGUUCAGCUCUAUUGGACCGGAGUCGUUAAGUUACUGAUCUACGGCCCCCAGAUCUAGAAUGGGGUCCAGCGGCCCUCUCAAAAAAAAUUUAAGCAUGGCUUGAGAUAAUGCGUCGUCCUCCGCCAAGUGACUUUGAGACCCAGUCUCGGUAAUAGGUGAAAUUGGUGUCUCGCUCGUAUCCAGAUUUGGCAUACUGCAUAAAAAGAAUGACUCAGCUUGAGUACCCCUACGACACCCGCCGUGCCCACGAAUACUAUGACCGUGAGUUCUACGAGCGCUCAUUGUUCCAAAAUUUUAUCUACAUUACAAAAUUUUAUGCAUCGGUUUCUAUGUUUAUUACCAAAUGUUUUGUUUCUAGCUAACUCAAUAUAGUUUCAAAUAGUUCUAACUACAGUAUUUCUAAGUCCAGAAGUACUUACAGGAUCGUUCCUUUUCUAAAUUCAAUUUUGAACACAAAAUUCACAGCCUUAAUUUUGUAACCUGGCUCUGAUACCACUAAAUGUAACACCAUAAAUCCGGCCUACACGUUACGGCUGAAUCUGGGAGUGUUACGAAGAAUAGUAUUGAAAAUCAUCUUGUUAUGUUAAAAUGACUAAAAAGAAAUCCACAUCUUAUCAAAAAAAAUUAUUAUUUUCGUUAAGGAAAACAUUGUUAAUUUUCUCUUUCAGAAACCUUAUUUUGCAGUGGAAGUUUGAUAUAGUUAAAGUUGAAAACCGAGUUUGUCUUUUCAGAAAUUAUAUUUGUUUGUGUAAAAUCGUGGUUUUGUUAAACUUUACAGUAUAAAAGUCAAAACCACACCCAAAACUGAAAUUAAAACAAACAGUUUAGAGAGUCCCAAAAUUACAAAACUCUCAAAAAUAAUCUAAAUUUUAAAUAAAACCGUAAUCAAAAUAAUUCGCGAACUACUGGCCACUGCUGAGACUCCGUUGCACCGAUCCGCCUUACCUGAACAGAAUAGACAAAUAGAUGUGAGUUUUCAUAAACUCAGUGUCAUACUCAACGAAAACAUAUAUGCAUCAAUUUCAGAAUUUUAGUAUAUCAGAACAGAAGCAGACAUAAGUCCUUAUCAGAAUCAGAUUAUCAGAUACAUACAGAUAUGCAAAGUCCUACCCCAUCCUCUACACACAAUCUCCAACCAUCCCAACACACCACGUGGGGUAUGAAACACCCACCCAGCCCUACACACCACAUCGUAUUCGUACUACACUUAACAGGAUAGUUUGCGGUCAAGCUGUCAGUAUAUCGGCAAAAUGUCGACUCACAGAGCACUUAACAAGAUAGUUUCCAUAUAUACAAAUUCUACCCCAUACACAAAUACAAAUAACAAAUAAAAGAUAUAACAGAAUUAACAUAUCUUUCAUGCUUAUAUACAGGUAACAUACAUGUUAUUACGAACCAGUCUAAUCAUACAUAUAAAUUUCUAAAUGUUCAAAUCAGUCUAUCGAAAUAGCAUAUAUCAUGCAUUAGGGUUUGCCUUGCCCUUACCGACCCCAUGGAAGGCCCACAGUCGAUUGGAACGACUUAUGUGACCCUAGGAAAAUUUUUAACAUUUUGGGCCCACAUGGCUGUGUGGCCCACACGCCCAUGUAGCAUGACCAUGUGGCCCACAUACCCAAAUUGGCCUAGCCCGUGUGACCCACACAGCCACACACUCGCUUAUCACACGGUCGUGUGUCGCACAUGGCCGGCCACACACCCGUGUGGCGUCAAUAGACCGUUUUUUCAGCUUUCACCAAACCUUAUUUUCUCGUGUUUUUGUUACAUACCUGGUUCAUUUUCGAUGCAAAAUCAACCCCAAGACCAUCGAACCCUGAAAACAGCAUUCCAACGCUCAAUUUCAAUAUACAUUUAUGAAACUCAAACAAAAUUAUUCAAAAACAAAGCCUCAAAGUAAAAUCCAAUCGUAUUCACAAACUUACCACCGACGAACAGAAAACCACUAACACGGAUUAGGUUGUAGUAGCAAAAUCCUCAGCUUCACAAUCUUUUCCUACGCAACAUACUCACAGAGAUUAAUCUCCCUGACUACACACCAAUAUACCCAUUCAAAAGGAACGAAAACCAAAUGAAAGGAACUUCCAGACUUACCAAGAUGAACGAAAAACAACCGAACAUCGAACCCCAACAAUUAAAACGAUCGAUUGGUUGAACCGAAUAGAGAGAAAGCAAAGCAAACAGUAGUAGGGAAAGAAUUAAUCAAAAUAAAUGGUUUCAUUUUUGUAAUUUUCUAAUUGUUCCAAAAUCUUAUAAGUUGAAUUAAUCAAAUUCAAUUUUUCUCGUUCUAUCUCAGAGUAUCCAUUCACUCAAAACUGAUCCGUCUCCAUUUCUACUUUUCGUAAGCUGACCUGAGCAUUUUCCAGCCAUUCAAUAGCCCCCUCGUGUAGUUCUUCUGAAUUUUGAAUAGUAUUCAAGAUCCUCUCUUUUCGAUUAUCUAAUAAAUCACUUAAUGAAAGUUGAAUAUCUUUCCAUUCAUUUUUUUAUUUCAAAAAUUCCAUGUUCUCUUCCCAAACCAAACAUGAACCUUUCGAUUCAUUUGGCUCUCACACUCAAUUAUUUCUUAUUUAUUGGGAAUUAAUUUUGAAUAUCUUUUUUUCUAAUGUAAUGAGCUUACCCUAUCCCUCUCGUCUCUAUUCAUAUUCCAAAAUAUCGAAACUGAUUACUAACCCAAGACCAGAAUAUUCGGAGGAUUCUUCUGACCAAAAUAGAAAAUAUAUCAAAAAAUUAAAAAGUACAAUAAAAAAUAAAAAAUUUACAUAUAAUUUGAAAUUUCUAAUUGUACUUAGAAUUGUAUAAUGUAUAAUUGUAAUUUGUCAGCAAAGUUGUUUCUUUUUUUCUUCAAAUUCAAAGAAUUCUUCUCCCUUUAUACAUAGGUCAUCGAUUCAACAUUGGAAAAAGGGGUUCAAAUCGUUUUAUCGACAUAAGUGUUUGAACUUCAAACGGGUUUGGCCUUAACCAUGUUAAUGGUCCCAGAUUAUUGGUUAAUAGAGAAUCAAAGUCCAUCGUACCAAUGAAUCACGAAAUGAUAUGGUUCUAUAAUAUGAUUUUAAAAAUUUAUUCAGAAGUAAUUCGCGGGAUCAUGCACUCUUUUCUUUCCUAGUUAUAAUGAAAAAAAGUACAACUGGGUGAAUCCAACCUAUUCUUGAAAUAAACAACUCGCACACACUCCCUUUCCAAAAAAGAUCAAUACACCAAGGACUACACUUAGAUUCAUUGGAUUUGUUGCUAAAAUAUCGGUAUUAACCCCGAAACUCCCGGCGGAUGGCCAGUGACCCAAGGAAACGAAAGAAUCGGUUAAAUUUUUUAUAUGAUCUCCUAUUUUAUUUUAGAUAGACCUUUUUUUUGUAUUAUAUCGCUUUGACUCCUUUUCCAUUUAUUCUAUUCUAUCAUAUUUAUAUUAUUCUAAUUAUUCUAAUUCUAUGUAUUUCUUUUUUUGUUUUAAUAAUUA
This 23810-nucleotide long non-coding RNA is filed under the name Gossypium barbadense (sea-island cotton). Its description in RNAcentral is "long non-coding RNA (GBAR_LNC020272)". The record is from RNAcentral. Lineage: Eukaryota; Viridiplantae; Streptophyta; Magnoliopsida; Malvales; Malvaceae.